RNAcentral lists this ribosomal RNA (190 nucleotides) under uncultured Actinomycetales bacterium. RNAcentral describes it as "partial 16S ribosomal RNA". It matches the Rfam family "Bacterial small subunit ribosomal RNA", at positions 143 to 334 of the family's 1533-position model. Lineage: Bacteria; Bacillati; Actinomycetota; Actinomycetes; Actinomycetales. The record is from RNAcentral.
AUAAGCCGUAGGGAAACUGGGUCUAAUACCGGAUAGGACCAUGCUUUAGUGUGUGUGGUGGAAAGUUUUUUCGGUGUAGGAUGAGCCCGCGGCCUAUCAGCUUGUUGGUGGGGUAAUGGCCUACCAAGGCGGCGACGGGUAGCCGGACUGAGAGGUUGGUCGGCCACAUUGGGACUGAGAUACGGCCCAG